RNAcentral lists this ribosomal RNA (486 nucleotides) under uncultured bacterium. RNAcentral describes it as "partial 16S ribosomal RNA". It matches the Rfam family "Bacterial small subunit ribosomal RNA", at positions 30 to 507 of the family's 1533-position model. The record is from RNAcentral.
AUUGAACGCUGGCGGCAUGCCUUACACAUGCAAGUCGAACGGCAGCACGGUUGCUUGCUCCUGGUGGCGAGUGUCGAACGGGGGAGUAAUACAUCUGCACAGGUCCUGACUUUGGGGAGAGCCCGGCGAAAGCCGGAUUAAUACCGCUUACGCACUACGCAUGAGAGCGGGGGACCUUCGGCCUUCGCCCUAUCGGGUUUGCCGAUGCCGGAUUAGCUAGUUGGUGGGGUAAAGGCCUACCAAGGCGACGAUCAGUAGCUGGUCUGAGAGGACGACCAGCCACACUGGGACUGAGACACGGCCCAGACUCCUACGGGAGGCAGCAGUGGGGAAUUUUGGACAAUGGGCGAAAGCCUGAUCCAGCAAUGCCGCGUGUGUGAAGAAGGCCUUCGGGUUGUAAAGCACUUUUGUCCGGAAAGAAAUGCUUGGCCCUAAUACGGUCGGGGGAUGACGGUACCGGAAGAAUAAGCACCGGCUAACUACGUG